GGGGGAGUAGCUCCUAAUUGGUAGAGCGGCGGUCUCCAAAACCGCAGGUUGUAGGUUCGAAUCCUACCUCCCCCG
This 75-nucleotide transfer RNA is filed under the name Candidatus Parcubacteria bacterium. RNAcentral's name for it is "tRNA-Trp". It matches the Rfam family "tRNA". Rfam says of the family: Transfer RNA (tRNA) molecules are approximately 80 nucleotides in length. Their secondary structure includes four short double-helical elements and three loops (D, anti-codon, and T loops). Lineage: Bacteria; Candidatus Parcubacteria. RNAcentral also lists the same sequence under 1 other name. The record is from RNAcentral.